AGUUUGAUCCUGGCUCAGGAUGAACGCUAGCGGGAGGCUUAACACAUGCAAGUCGAGGGGUAUCAGUAGCAAUAUUGAGAGACCGGCGCACGGGUGAGUAACGCGUAUGCAACCUGCCCUUUACUGGGGGAUAGCCCGUAGAAAUGCGGAUUAAUACCCCAUAGUCCCCGGUUGUCGCAUGGCGACCGGGAUAAAGCCGAGGUGAUAAAUGAUGGGCAUGCGUGACAUUAGCUUGUUGGUGGGGUAACGGCCCACCAAGGCUGCGAUGUCUAGGGGUUCUGAGAGGAAGAUCCCCCACACUGGUACUGAGACACGGUCCAGACUCCUACGGGAGGCAGCAGUGAGGAAUAUUGGUCAAUGGGCGGGAGCCUGAACCAGCCAUCCCGCGUGCAGGAAGAAUGCCCUAUGGGUUGUAAACUGCUUUUUCGCAUGAAGAACAUCCCGGACGUGCCCGGGACUGACGGUAAUGCGUGAAUAAGCACCGGCUAACUCCGUGCCAGCAGCCGCGGUAAUACGGAGGGUGCAAGCGUUAUCCGGAUUUAUUGGGUUUAA
This 552-nucleotide ribosomal RNA is filed under the name uncultured bacterium. RNAcentral's name for it is "bacterial SSU rRNA". It matches the Rfam family "Bacterial small subunit ribosomal RNA", at positions 10 to 563 of the family's 1533-position model. The record is from RNAcentral.